Molecule: microRNA precursor, 71 nt
Organism: Bos grunniens (domestic yak)
Lineage: Eukaryota; Metazoa; Chordata; Mammalia; Artiodactyla; Bovidae
Source: Ensembl
UAUGACCUCUAAGUCUAGAACCCCUCUGAUUCAGGAUUCUCUGAGUCAGGAUUCUAGGCUUAGAGGUCAUA